GGAGAAAGAGCUUGUCCUCAAGCUUGGAAGCAGGAUAAGCAACUCAGAAUUGGUCCAGUGGUUCCUAGGUAGCAUCGGCAUAGGGCAUACCAUCCCAACAAACUAAUACUUUCCAAGAGCCUCUAUUGAGCCAAACACGAAGAACUUUAGUUGGCAUAGGAACCACAUGUCCUUCAGUAAUAGGUGGUAAGGUAGGAGAUAUGGCAGGAGGAUCACCGUCGAAAUGAUUUGAGCAAGGAGACGUGGAAGAUGUCGUGAAUCUUGUUGGAAGAAGGGAGUGCCAACUGAUAAGCUACUUCCCCAAUACUGCUCAAAACCUUGAAAGGACCAUAGUAUCGAGGUGCAAGUUUGUGGCAAUGUUGCUGAGUGAUUGAUAGGUGAUUGUAACGUGAGUAGCACAAAAGCAAAGUAAUUCCUUCCAAAAAUGACUGGUGAAGAUAACAUCCUAGUCACUGACAAUAGUCUCGGGUAACCUGUGUAACUUGAAAAUAUUAGCAAAGAAAGCAUAGGCUACACUCACUUCUGUAUACGAAUGAGAUAAGGGAAUAAGAUGAGCAUACUUGAAGAAGCGAUCCGCUACUACAAAUAACACCAUUAACUUUUAGCAAGUCAUCGAUGAAAUCCAUUGAGAUGUCAGCCCAGAUUUUGUUUAGUAAGGCUAAUGGCUGGAGAAGGCCUACAGGAUGCAAAUGUUCUGUUUGGUUGUGCUAACAAACCAAGCAAGUUUCAUCAAAUUCCCAAACUGUUUUUCUCAUCCCUUGCCAAUAAAAAUCAUGUUGUACUCACUGCAAUGUUUUUUGAACCCCUUCAUAAGUGCCAUUAUGUAUAGUUGCCAGCACCAAGAAAAUUAUUGGAAAAGUAGACAAUAAAUAAACUUUAUUGUAAAAGAAAAUAAGAUCAUUAGUCACUGACCCGUCCGUGCCAU
This 925-nucleotide unclassified non-coding RNA is filed under the name Hevea brasiliensis (rubber tree). The record is from RNAcentral. Lineage: Eukaryota; Viridiplantae; Streptophyta; Magnoliopsida; Malpighiales; Euphorbiaceae.